This 253-nucleotide ribosomal RNA is filed under the name uncultured bacterium. Its description in RNAcentral is "partial 16S ribosomal RNA". It matches the Rfam family "Bacterial small subunit ribosomal RNA", at positions 524 to 776 of the family's 1533-position model. The record is from RNAcentral.
UACGUAGGGUGCAAGCGUUAAUCGGAAUUACUGGGCGUAAAGCGUGCGCAGGCGGUUUUGUAAGUCUGAUGUGAAAUCCCCGGGCUCAACCUGGGAAUUGCGAUGGAGACUGCAAGGCUUGAAUCUGGCAGAGGGGGGUAGAAUUCCACGUGUAGCAGUGAAAUGCGUAGAGAUGUGGAGGAACACCGAUGGCGAAGGCAGCCCCCUGGGUCAAGAUUGACGCUAAUGCACGAAAGCGUGGGGAGCAAACAGG